RNAcentral lists this ribosomal RNA (2808 nucleotides) under Salmonella enterica subsp. enterica serovar Bareilly str. CFSAN000231. Its description in RNAcentral is "bacterial LSU rRNA". It matches the Rfam family "Bacterial large subunit ribosomal RNA". Lineage: Bacteria; Pseudomonadati; Pseudomonadota; Gammaproteobacteria; Enterobacterales; Enterobacteriaceae. The record is from RNAcentral.
GGGUUGUGAGGUUAAGCGACUAAGCGUACACGGUGGAUGCCCUGGCAGUCAGAGGCGAUGAAGGGCGUGCUAAUCUGCGAUAAGCGCCGGUAAGGUGAUAUGAACCGUUAUAACCGGCGAUACCCGAAUGGGGAAACCCAGUGUGAUUCGUCACACUAUCAUUAACUGAAUCCAUAGGUUAAUGAGGCGAACCGGGGGAACUGAAACAUCUAAGUACCCCGAGGAAAAGAAAUCAACCGAGAUUCCCCCAGUAGCGGCGAGCGAACGGGGAGGAGCCCAGAGCCUGAAUCAGCAUGUGUGUUAGUGGAAGCGUCUGGAAAGGCGCGCGAUACAGGGUGACAGCCCCGUACACAAAAGCGCAUGUGCUGUGAGCUCGAUGAGUAGGGCGGGACACGUGGUAUCCUGUCUGAAUAUGGGGGGACCAUCCUCCAAGGCUAAAUACUCCUGACUGACCGAUAGUGAACCAGUACCGUGAGGGAAAGGCGAAAAGAACCCCGGCGAGGGGAGUGAAAAAGAACCUGAAACCGUGUACGUACAAGCAGUGGGAGCACAGGUUUACCUGUGUGACUGCGUACCUUUUGUAUAAUGGGUCAGCGACUUAUAUUCUGUAGCAAGGUUAACCGUAUAGGGGAGCCGGAGGGAAACCGAGUCUUAACCGGGCGUUAAGUUGCAGGGUAUAGACCCGAAACCCGGUGAUCUAGCCAUGGGCAGGUUGAAGGUUGGGUAACACUAACUGGAGGACCGAACCGACUAAUGUUGAAAAAUUAGCGGAUGACCUGUGGCUGGGGGUGAAAGGCCAAUCAAACCGGGAGAUAGCUGGUUCUCCCCGAAAGCUAUUUAGGUAGCGCCUCGUGAAUUCAUCUCCGGGGGUAGAGCACUGUUUCGGCUAGGGGGCCAUCCCGGCUUACCAACCCGAUGCAAACUGCGAAUACCGGAGAAUGUUAUCACGGGAGACACACGGCGGGUGCUAACGUCCGUCGUGAAGAGGGAAACAACCCAGACCGCCAGCUAAGGUCCCAAAGUCAUGGUUAAGUGGGAAACGAUGUGGGAAGGCCCAGACAGCCAGGAUGUUGGCUUAGAAGCAGCCAUCAUUUAAAGAAAGCGUAAUAGCUCACUGGUCGAGUCGGCCUGCGCGGAAGAUGUAACGGGGCUAAACCAUGCACCGAAGCUGCGGCAGCGACACUUAUGUGUUGUUGGGUAGGGGAGCGUUCUGUAAGCCUGUGAAGGUGUGUCGUGAGGCAUGCUGGAGGUAUCAGAAGUGCGAAUGCUGACAUAAGUAACGAUAAAGCGGGUGAAAAGCCCGCUCGCCGGAAGACCAAGGGUUCCUGUCCAACGUUAAUCGGGGCAGGGUGAGUCGACCCCUAAGGCGAGGCCGAAAGGCGUAGUCGAUGGGAAACGGGUUAAUAUUCCCGUACUUGGUGUUACUGCGAAGGGGGGACGGAGAAGGCUAUGUUGGCCGGGCGACGGUUGUCCCGGUUUAAGCGUGUAGGCUGGUUUUCCAGGCAAAUCCGGAAAAUCAAGGCUGAGGCGUGACGACGAGGCACUACGGUGCUGAAGCAACAAAUGCCCUGCUUCCAGGAAAAGCCUCUAAGCAUCAGGUAACAUCAAAUCGUACCCCAAACCGACACAGGUGGUCAGGUAGAGAAUACCAAGGCGCUUGAGAGAACUCGGGUGAAGGAACUAGGCAAAAUGGUGCCGUAACUUCGGGAGAAGGCACGCUGACACGUAGGUGAAGUGAUUUACUCAUGGAGCUGAAGUCAGUCGAAGAUACCAGCUGGCUGCAACUGUUUAUUAAAAACACAGCACUGUGCAAACACGAAAGUGGACGUAUACGGUGUGACGCCUGCCCGGUGCCGGAAGGUUAAUUGAUGGGGUCAGCGCAAGCGAAGCUCCUGAUCGAAGCCCCGGUAAACGGCGGCCGUAACUAUAACGGUCCUAAGGUAGCGAAAUUCCUUGUCGGGUAAGUUCCGACCUGCACGAAUGGCGUAAUGAUGGCCAGGCUGUCUCCACCCGAGACUCAGUGAAAUUGAACUCGCUGUGAAGAUGCAGUGUACCCGCGGCAAGACGGAAAGACCCCGUGAACCUUUACUAUAGCUUGACACUGAACAUUGAGCCUUGAUGUGUAGGAUAGGUGGGAGGCUUUGAAGCGUGGACGCCAGUCUGCGUGGAGCCGACCUUGAAAUACCACCCUUUAAUGUUUGAUGUUCUAACGUGGACCCGUAAUCCGGGUUGCGGACAGUGUCUGGUGGGUAGUUUGACUGGGGCGGUCUCCUCCUAAAGAGUAACGGAGGAGCACGAAGGUUGGCUAAUCCUGGUCGGACAUCAGGAGGUUAGUGCAAUGGCAUAAGCCAGCUUGACUGCGAGCGUGACGGCGCGAGCAGGUGCGAAAGCAGGUCAUAGUGAUCCGGUGGUUCUGAAUGGAAGGGCCAUCGCUCAACGGAUAAAAGGUACUCCGGGGAUAACAGGCUGAUACCGCCCAAGAGUUCAUAUCGACGGCGGUGUUUGGCACCUCGAUGUCGGCUCAUCACAUCCUGGGGCUGAAGUAGGUCCCAAGGGUAUGGCUGUUCGCCAUUUAAAGUGGUACGCGAGCUGGGUUUAGAACGUCGUGAGACAGUUCGGUCCCUAUCUGCCGUGGGCGCUGGAGAACUGAGGGGGGCUGCUCCUAGUACGAGAGGACCGGAGUGGACGCAUCACUGGUGUUCGGGUUGUCAUGCCAAUGGCACUGCCCGGUAGCUAAAUGCGGAAGAGAUAAGUGCUGAAAGCAUCUAAGCACGAAACUUGCCCCGAGAUGAGUUCUCCCUGAGACUU